AGAGUUUGAUCAUGGCUCAGGAUGAACGCUGGCGGUAUGCUUAACACAUGCAAGUCGAACGAAUCCCUUCGGGGAUUAGUGGCGGACGGGUGAGUAACGCGUGAGAAUCUGCCUUCUGGUCGGGGACAACCACGGGAAACGGUGGCUAAUACCGGAUGUGCCCUGCGGGGUGAAAGGUUAACUGCCUGAAGAUGAGCUCGCGUCUGAUUAGCUAGUUGGUGUGGUAAGAGCGCACCAAGGCGACGAUCAGUAGCUGGUCUGAGAGGACGAUCAGCCACACUGGGACUGAGACACGGCCCAGACACCUACGGGUGGCAGCAGCAAGGAAUCUUCGGCAAUGGGCGCAAGCCUGACCGAGCAACGCCGCGUGCAGGACGACGGCCUUCGGGUUGUAAACUGCUUUGGGGAGGGAUGAUACGGACAGUACCUCCAGAACAAGCCCCGGCUAACUCUGUGCCAGCAGCCGCGGUAAUACGGAGGGUGCAAGCGUUAUCCGGAUUCACUGGGUUUAAAGGGUGCGUAGGCGGGCAAGUAAGUCAGUGGUGAAAUCCUGGAGCUUAACUCCAGAACUGCCGUUGAUACUAUUUGUCUUGAAUACUGGGGAGGUGAGCGGAAUAUGUCAUGUAGCGGUGAAAUGCUUAGAUAUGACAUAGAACACCGAUUGCGAAGGCAGCUCACUACACAGUCAUUGACGCUGAGGCACGAAAGCGUGGGGAUCAAACAGGAUUAGAUACCCCCGUAGUCC
Molecule: ribosomal RNA, 745 nt
Filed under: uncultured cyanobacterium
Lineage: Bacteria; Bacillati; Cyanobacteriota
Description: bacterial SSU rRNA
Rfam family: Bacterial small subunit ribosomal RNA
Source: RNAcentral